GUUUGCAGUUAAAAACACAAAUGAACAGGUAUACAUCAGCAUCUAUUGGUAAUGACAGCAGCAACACUUUCUCGAAAAGAAAAGCAGGAUCUGGCUACUCUGGGUCCGAGUUGUCUUGCUGCCUUUGAGGAGCACGUGCUGCAGCAGACGGCGUGUGGAGCCCCUGCCAGACAGGCGCAAGGGUUGGGCUUGCAGAUCUCAACAGCUCCAUUGCCAUGACGAAUGAAGCUGUCAGAGGAAGAUAUGAUUCUCUGGGCUUGGUCUACAGCUGUAGACCUCAUCUCUUCUUCCACUUCUCCAUGGCUCUGGAUAGCUGAGCUAAAGCAACAUGUAGAUAACUAACCAUAAACAAGCUCCUGGGAAUACUCCAGUAUUUGUGACCUUGUUUGUAGCAGGAGGAACAUAUUUGUUAUGCCUCCAUUUCAGAGAAGCUUAUUCAGCUUCCAGUGAUUAUUGCAUGGCCUUAAGCCUUGUAGGGGUUAUUUAAUAUUAUAUUUUCCUUGCUAACACAUGCC
RNAcentral lists this long non-coding RNA (515 nucleotides) under Anas zonorhyncha (Eastern spot-billed duck). RNAcentral's name for it is "lncRNA (ENSAZOG00000018733.1)". Lineage: Eukaryota; Metazoa; Chordata; Aves; Anseriformes; Anatidae. The record is from RNAcentral.